RNAcentral lists this ribosomal RNA (253 nucleotides) under uncultured bacterium. RNAcentral's name for it is "partial 16S ribosomal RNA". It matches the Rfam family "Bacterial small subunit ribosomal RNA", at positions 524 to 776 of the family's 1533-position model. The record is from RNAcentral.
UACGGAGGGUGCAAGCGUUGUCCGGAAUCACUGGGCGUAAAGGGCGCGUAGGCGGCUCGGUAAGUAGGGGGUGAAAUCCUGCGGCUUAACCGCAGGGCUGCCUUCUAAACUGUCGAGCUUGAGCACGGUAGAGGCAGAUGGAAUUCCCGGUGUAGCGGUGGAAUGCAUAGAGAUCGGGAAGAACACCGGUGGCGAAGGCGGCCUGCUGGGCAGUGGCUGACGCUGAGGCGCGACAGCGUGGGGAGCAAACAGG